UACGUAGGGUGCGAGCGUUAUCCGGAAUCAUUGGGCGUAAAGAGCUCGUAGGCGGUUCAACAAGUCGGCUGUGAAAGUCCGGGGCUCAACCCCGGAAUUGCAGUCGAUACUGUUGUGACUUGAGUCCGGUAGAGGAGAAUGGAAUUCCCGGUGUAGCGGUGGAAUGCGCAGAUAUCGGGAGGAACACCAGUAGCGAAGGCGGUUCUCUGGGCCGGCACUGACGCUGAGGAGCGAAAGCGUGGGGAGCAAACAGGAUUAGAUACCCGCGUA
Molecule: ribosomal RNA, 270 nt
Filed under: uncultured prokaryote
Description: partial 16S ribosomal RNA
Rfam family: Bacterial small subunit ribosomal RNA
Source: RNAcentral